UACAGAGGUCUCAAGCGUUGUUCGGAUUCAUUGGGCGUAAAGGGUGCGUAGGCGGCGCGCUAAGUCAGGUGUGAAAUCUCGGGGCUUAACUCCGAAACUGCAUUUGAUACUGGCGUGCUUGAGGACUGGAGAGGAGACUGGAAUUCAUGGUGUAGCAGUGAAAUGCGUAGAGAUCAUGAGGAAGACCAGUGGCGAAGGCGGGUCUCUGGACAGUUACUGACACUGAGGCACGAAGGCCAGGGGAGCAAACGGG
RNAcentral lists this ribosomal RNA (253 nucleotides) under uncultured bacterium. RNAcentral describes it as "partial 16S ribosomal RNA". It matches the Rfam family "Bacterial small subunit ribosomal RNA", at positions 524 to 776 of the family's 1533-position model. The record is from RNAcentral.